GACGAACGCUGGCGGCGUGCUUAACACAUGCAAGUCGAGCGGAAAGGCCCUUCGGGGUACUCGAGCGGCGAACGGGUGAGAAACACGUGAGUAACCUGCCCCAGACUUUGGGAUAACCCUCGGAAACGGGGGCUAAUACCGGAUACGACACAGCUUCGCAUGGGGUCUGUGUGGAAAGUUUUUCGGUUUGGGAUGGGCUCGCGGCCUAUCAGCUUGUUGGUGGGGUGAUGGCCUACCAAGGCGACGACGGGUAGCCGGCCUGAGAGGGCGACCGGCCACACUGGGACUGAGACACGGCCCAGACUCCUACGGGAGGCAGCAGUGGGGAAUAUUGCACAAUGGGCGGAAGCCUGAUGCAGCGACGCCGCGUGAGGGAUGACGGCCUUCGGGUUGUAAACCUCUUUCAGCAGGGACGAAGCGUAAGUGACGGUACCUGCAGAAGAAGCGCCGGCCAACUACGUG
Molecule: ribosomal RNA, 462 nt
Filed under: uncultured bacterium
Lineage: Bacteria
Description: partial 16S ribosomal RNA
Rfam family: Bacterial small subunit ribosomal RNA
Source: RNAcentral